GCCAAGAGUAGAAGCGUUCACCUGCACAGUUUGCUUGCAGUCCGGAAAUUGCUCUUGAA
This 59-nucleotide non-coding RNA is filed under the name unclassified sequences. RNAcentral's name for it is "Xanthine-I sequence". It matches the Rfam family "Xanthine riboswitch aptamer (NMT1 RNA)". Rfam says of the family: Later it was reported as a ncRNA that recognised Xanthine. The record is from Rfam by way of RNAcentral.